AGAAUCAACGCUGGCGGCGUGCCUAACACAUGCAAGUCGAACGAGAAAGUGGAGCAAUCCAUGAGUAAAGUGGCGCACGGGUGAGUAACACGUGACUAACCUACCCUUGAGUGGGGGAUAACCUAGGGAAACCUGGGCUAAUACCGCAUAAUACCUUCGGGUCAAAGGAGCAAUUCGCUUUAGGAGGGGUCGCGGCCGAUUAGUUAGUUGGCGGGGUAAUGGCCCACCAAGACUGUGAUCGGUAU
Molecule: ribosomal RNA, 245 nt
Filed under: uncultured bacterium
Lineage: Bacteria
Description: partial small subunit ribosomal RNA
Rfam family: Bacterial small subunit ribosomal RNA
Source: RNAcentral